GGAUGAUGGUGCCUUUGGCAUUGUUAUGUUCUUUUAGCAUCUCCAAUAGUUAUACAUUGGAUGUCUUAAGUAACCUUUUUAAUAUAAAUUUUAGACACUUUAGCAUAUCUAAGACAGUACAAACAAUUGUUAAGACACUCUAAAUACAUGUGUCACUUUGUGAAUGAUCAACUUAAAAAAAAAAAAACUAAAAUCAACAAUAAUUAAGACACUCUAUUUACAUCUUUCACCAUUGGAGAUACUAUAGUUAAAAACUGUAACAGAGUUUUCUGGAAACGUUACGUUGUUAUAUACAAUAAUGUUGAAAACUUGUUUUAUAUUUGUCUUGGUUUUGAUAAAACUUUCUUUAUAUUCGUC
RNAcentral lists this long non-coding RNA (357 nucleotides) under Capsella rubella. RNAcentral describes it as "long non-coding RNA (CRUB_LNC003116)". The record is from RNAcentral. Lineage: Eukaryota; Viridiplantae; Streptophyta; Magnoliopsida; Brassicales; Brassicaceae.